GAUGAACGCUGGCGGCGUGCCUAAUACAUGCAAGUCGAGCGAACAGACGAGGAGCUUGCUCCUCUGACGUUAGCGGCGGACGGGUGAGUAACACGUGGAUAACCUACCUAUAAGACUGGGAUAACUUCGGGAAACCGGAGCUAAUACCGGAUAAUAUAUUGAACCGCAUGGUUCAAUAGUGAAAGACGGUUUUGCUGUCACUUAUAGAUGGAUCCACGCCGCAUUAGCUAGUUGGUAAGGUAACGGCUUACCAAGGCAACGAUGCGUAGCCGACCUGAGAGGAUGAUCGGCCACACUGGAACUGAGACACGGUCCAGACUCCUACGGGAGGCAGCAGUAGGGAAUCUUCCGCAAUGGGCGAAAGCCUGACGGAGCAACGCCGCGUGAGUGAUGAAGGUCUUCGGAUCGUAAAACUCUGUUAUUAGGGAAGAACAAAUGUGUAAGUAACUAUGCACGUCUUGACGGUACCUAAUCAGAAAGCCACGGCUAACUACGUG
Molecule: ribosomal RNA, 497 nt
Filed under: uncultured bacterium
Lineage: Bacteria
Description: partial 16S ribosomal RNA
Rfam family: Bacterial small subunit ribosomal RNA
Source: RNAcentral